This 216-nucleotide ribosomal RNA is filed under the name Desulfamplus sp. RNAcentral's name for it is "partial 16S ribosomal RNA". It matches the Rfam family "Bacterial small subunit ribosomal RNA", at positions 1 to 210 of the family's 1533-position model. The record is from RNAcentral. Lineage: Bacteria; Pseudomonadati; Thermodesulfobacteriota; Desulfobacteria; Desulfobacterales; Desulfobacteraceae.
AAACUGUAGAGUUUGAUUCUGGCUCAGAAUGAACGCUGGCGGCGUGCUUAACACAUGCAAGUCGAACGAGAAAGGUGGUGCUUGCACCGCCGAGUAGAGUGGCGCACGGGUGAGUAACGAGUAGAUAAUCUACCUUUGAAUUAGGGAUAACUAUGCGAAAGUGUAGCUAAUACCUGAUGAUGUCGGGUGGCCUUUGGGUUAUUUGAUGAAAGAGUG